RNAcentral lists this ribosomal RNA (481 nucleotides) under uncultured bacterium. RNAcentral describes it as "partial 16S ribosomal RNA". It matches the Rfam family "Bacterial small subunit ribosomal RNA", at positions 28 to 507 of the family's 1533-position model. The record is from RNAcentral.
GAUGAACGCUGGCGGCGUGCUUAACACAUGCAAGUCGAACGAAGCAUUUAAGACAGAUUACUUCGGUUUGAAGUCUUUUAUGACUGAGUGGCGGACGGGUGAGUAACGCGUGGGUAACCUGCCUCAUACAGGGGGAUAGCAGCUGGAAACGGCUGGUAAUACCGCAUAAGCGCACAGUACCACAUGGUACAGUGUGAAAAACUCCGGUGGUAUGAGAUCGACCCGCGUCUGAUUAGCUUGUUGGCGGGGUAACGGCCCACCAAGGCGACGAUCAGUAGCCGACCUGAGAGGGUGACCGGCCACAUUGGGACUGAGACACGGCCCAGACUCCUACGGGAGGCAGCAGUGGGGAAUAUUGCACAAUGGAGGAAACUCUGAUGCAGCGACGCCGCGUGAGUGAAGAAGUAGUUCGCUAUGUAAAGCUCUAUCAGCAGGGAAGAUAGUGACGGUACCUGACUAAGAAGCUCCGGCUAAAUACGUG